Eurytemora carolleeae is the source of this 3220-nucleotide long non-coding RNA. RefSeq lists it as uncharacterized. The record is from RefSeq and is a predicted model, not a curated record. The transcript is spliced from 3 exons. Lineage: Eukaryota; Metazoa; Arthropoda; Copepoda; Calanoida; Temoridae.
ACAACAGAAUACAGAAACAUAAAGACAAAGGAUCUCAGAAUGGAGAAGGAUAAUUUCAGUGGCAAGAAUAAUGUCUUCAGUAAGAAUGAAACUAGCUUCAGCUUGGAGGAAACUGAGUUGAGAUUUGAGAAGAAUGAAUCAGGUGUUGGAAGGAAUGAGGUAAGAAAAUAAGAGUCUGACUUCAGCCUGGAGAAGAAUAACUCGAGUGCCGGAAAGAAUGACUCAAUUGCUGGUAAGAAUGACUUCAGCCAGGAAUAAUGACUCAAGUUAAGGGAAAAAUUACUGAAGUGACGGGAAGAAAGACUCAAUAGCUAGUAAGAAUGAGACUGACUUCAGCCUGGAGAAGAAUGCCUCAAGUGCUGGUAUGAAUGGGUUAAGCCGAGAAGAGACUGACUUCAGCCGGGAAGAAAAUGAGUUUAGAAAAGAGGAGACUGGUUACAGCAGAGAGCAGAAUGACUUGAUUGGCUUCAGCAGGAAGGAGAGUAAUUUCAAUAUUGAAGGGAAAGAGGGAAAUGCUUUGAAAUCAAAAACAAAGGAAAUCAACCUUGCUCACAGAAAUUCUGAACUUGGUAAACAUCUGAAGGAAGAGAAAUCAACGAAGGAGAAAUCAAUAAAAGACAAAGCUGAUCUUUUGAAAAAAAUUUCUGAACUUAAUGAAAGAGAAGGCUAACAAAGAAAAUGCUGAUCUCACAAAAAGAAUUUUUAUGAAUAAAAAAUUCUGAAUUAUAUACACCCAUGUAUUUACAUUGACCAGAUUUAAUGAAGGGAAAGAGGUAGCUUAACUUUUCAUACGGCGUUCAACCACUUGUCUGCCAGUUUAAUCUGAAGAAAAGGUUGAACCCCAUCUACAUGGUUUAACCACGUCUACACGGUUCAACCAUGUCUGACUGUACAUUGAAUCGGUUCCUGGAUGUUAGAAGUAAGAAGAUGUUAAGGGAAGUGUCUUCUACACUAAAGGAAAGAGUUGAAGAAUGUGAGAAAUCAUUCAAGUUUUGGAUAUUUGAUUCAGAAUUAUCAACACCUCAACUAAAUCAGUUAGCAGAUUAAAUUAAGACCAGCAAAGGUAUACCUAUGAAAGACUGUUCUAUUAAUGGUGGAGAAUAUCUAGUAAAGAUGCAUCCUGAGCUUGAAAAGUUUGAAAUCCAUGGCUUAUAUUUUUCUGAACACGAAACUAAAUUCAGUGAUAUUGGAUUGAGGCCUGUGCUAUCUCUACCUAAUCUAACUUCUGUGAUUGUCGGACGUUGGAAAAAACAAACUAAUGCAAUUUGUAUAGGUGGAUCUGUUUCAACCAGUCAUGAUGUGCUUUUUACUCAUCUGGAAGCAAUCGAAAAUUUGAUAAAUAUUGAGUUUCCAGGUGUUUCAUGGCAAAGCACUGGCUCAUUUAAAACUUAAUUUUUACAAAAUUAUUUGUAUAUUUUAUAUUUUUUAUAUUUUAUAUUUUGAAUUUUGGUUUUUCUCCGAUUAUAUAUUCCAUAUGAAGUAUGAGACACGUAAAACCUAGGAUGAUCAUUUUAGGUACUUUUAAACUGUUUGAGAAGAAGUUUCUCUGCCUGAGUCUUUUGAUCCUAAACUUACUAGUUUCUUAAUUCAAAUUAGAGCUAGGAUGUAUAUGUAUAGUAUUCACCCGUCUACAAGCCGAUGAUGAAAAUUAUUUCUAGGGCUGACUACGAAAGUAGAUCUAAAAUCAAUUGUAAAUCAUGAUUGAGUCCUCUAUGAUUGACACAGUAAGUUUUCCUUAUAUAUGUUUUGAGAUGAGUGAUACAGAUGCAAUGAACUAUGAUGAAUAUGAAGCCAUGAAGGAAGAUCAAUUUCGAGAAUACAAUGGUUCUCAUCUUCUCCAGGUCCUACAAACCGUCGGAAAUACACUUAAAUCCUUAAGUAUUCAGGGAUCUCAAACUGGUACUGCUCUGCUUGAGUACAAUGGAAGGCUGCCUUGUCUGGAGAAUUUGAAUCUCAACAGUAAUGAUUACAAUAUUGAAGGACUUCUACUUAUAAUUCACCUUUGUGGUAAUACUCUUAAAUCCCUCUCAACCAGGUGUCAUUCUGUGUCUGGAAAAGUCUAAUGGACCUUAAUGGUCCUUUAAUUGCCUUGGAUUUACCGUUGAAUUUAUGUCCCUCUGAGUCUGACCUAACAGAUGAAGAACUGCUUCAUGUUCUCAAUCAAUGUGGACCUACUCUCAAAUACCUCUAUAUCUCUUGUACAUAUUCAAGUUGUGACAAUCUUUCAGAGUACAAGGGUUCUCUCCUUCUGCAGACUUUAAAGUUUGAAGAGUCCGAACUAUCAGACAGAGGUCUUCUUAACAUACUGAGAUUGUGCAGAAGUACACUGGAAUUCUUGGACAUCAGGAAUUCUGAAGUCAGUGGAUCAGAUCUCUGGAAGUUUUAAGGAACCCUUUCAUGUUUAAGAGAGAUAGAAUGUACUUCGCUCUGUGGGUUUGGUGAUAAAGAACUUCUCUAUAUACUUCGGAUCUGUCGACCCACUCUCAAAUCACUGAACAUUGGAGAAGCUAAUGUAACCGGAGAAACUUUGUCAGAAUACAAAGAACCCCAGCCAGCUCUUCAGCAUUUAGAUGUUUCCAAAACUGAAAACAGAAUAACUGACAAGGGACUGAUGCAGAUCUUACAAAUAUUUAGGAAAACAAUUGUAUCAUUAGAUGUCAGCAUAUCUAGAAUAACGGGAAGAAAUCUGAGGAAGUUUAAAGGUUCUUUGCAUUGUUUGGAAACCCUAGAGAGCAAUGAUACCUAUAGAGAAGAAGGUGUAUUCCGUAUACUAGAACUCCUAGAACUCUGUGGAGUUAAUCUUAAGCGCCUGGCGAUGUAUAAGACCAAGUUAAAGAGUAACACUUGGGAAAAAAUACAUGAAGACUUUCCCACUAUUCUUCUUAUGCCAACAAAUUAAGAACUGUUUGAUCAUGGAUAUUACUAGAUUCGUUAUGCAACUCAAAAACAAGCUUUAGUUGAAUGUCCGUCAUUGUCUACCCAUUUUUUUACAAACCAAAGAAAGGAGAAUCAUGCUAAAUAAUCAUUAGUGUAAAUGAUUUUUAAAUCUAGUGAAAAAGCAAUUAUAUUUCCUGCUAAGUAACUAAAUAACAAAAUAAACCAUUUAAUUUUAUGAAAAUAGAACUUUCAGAAUUUUUAGUUAAUUAAUAAGCUUCAAAUCUUUAUUUAAACUUUAAAUGUUCUUUUUAAGUAAACACAAUCGAUAAGUUUGUUCAUCUUG